This 68-nucleotide transfer RNA is filed under the name Phrynocephalus persicus (Persian toad-headed agama). Its description in RNAcentral is "tRNA-Ala". Lineage: Eukaryota; Metazoa; Chordata; Lepidosauria; Squamata; Agamidae. The record is from RNAcentral.
UAGGCCUUAUUUUAAUAAAAAUACCUGGGUUGCAUGCAGGUGAUGUGGGAAAAGUCUCACAGGUCUUU